Long non-coding RNA from Papaver somniferum (opium poppy), 741 nucleotides. RefSeq lists it as uncharacterized. NCBI's taxonomy places the organism in Eukaryota, Viridiplantae, Streptophyta, Magnoliopsida, Ranunculales, Papaveraceae. The transcript is spliced from 3 exons. The record is from RefSeq and is a predicted model, not a curated record.
UCUAAGAAUAAGAAAAGUGUAAAUCACCAUAGAAAUUCUUACGAAAAGAGCAUGUAGACUGUUUGGAUAAAUCCAUAGAAAUAACUUUUCUACUUCUGGAAGUAGAAAAGCCAAAAGCUCGUUUGGGUGUUAGUUUUGGAAACGAAAUUUAGAAGUAGAAAACUUACUUUUUCUCGGAGCCAAAUGUUUUUGCUUCUCUCAGAAGUUGCUUCUCCUAGUUAUUUGUGUCCCUCGUUUUCCUUAUCUCCUCGUUAUUGAACUCCAUACUUCGACGGAACUCACAGAAGAAAUAAAAUCAAAAGAGCAAUGGAAAAAGAAGAAAUUUAUGGCCGGAAGAGUUAUAGCAGUUAUUACAAGGAAAGAAGUGAAUUGGGUUUAAAGAAUAUGUUAUUAUGGUUUCCAAUACUCAAAUGUUCAUGGAAUUGAAAUUGUUAAAUUGAUGGAACUGCAAUUGUUACUGGGACCCGACACCAACCCCGUUGCUCCCGUAUCUUAAGGAAGUACCGCAGCUUUCUCGAAUUUUGGAGCAGGACUAAAGAUAAGUUACACCUAAGAUUAAACAGUUAAAAAGUCAUCGUUCCCUCGUUUUUUGAAUUUUUUUUUUGUGAAUACAAAAACUCUGAUGCCGGAAUUAUGUUUGUUUGGCUGCAUAAAUUUGCUUCGCAGCAAGCAAUGUAAGUGAUGAUUUAUGUUUUCUUCGUAACACUUAAUUUUAUGGUAUCAAAUAUAUUUUGACUUCUA